Long non-coding RNA from Solea solea (common sole), 2674 nucleotides. RefSeq lists it as uncharacterized. The record is from RefSeq and is a predicted model, not a curated record. The transcript has 3 exons. NCBI's taxonomy places the organism in Eukaryota, Metazoa, Chordata, Actinopteri, Pleuronectiformes, Soleidae.
GACUGAACAGAGACAUGACGGACCCACUGCAUGUGCACAUGAUGUGGUGAGGAGGAGGAGGAUCGCUGAGACUACACCAGGGGGCAUCCUGCAAGCCGUGGCAGAAUAAUCACACACCCAGUGCAGAGCGGCGUCAGUCUGCAGAAAGCACCAAUGACACUGCACGGUUAUGGCGCAGUUGACAUGAGAGAAAUCCAUCUGCUGUCAGGAGAUAAGAGCAUAUCUGUGUCAUGACCGUCGUCCACUGCAGUGCUGCAAAACACAGCUGGGAGCGUGUUCUGUGCAGCUCUAUGCGGGGACUUGAUUGUACCUCUGAGAUAUUGAAUAAUGAAUAAGAUCAAGUCAAGAAAAAGCCCGACAAACAUCCACGGAGGAACAGCUUUCACGCAGAAAGAAUGCCCUCUGGUGGAAUUGCUGCUGCAACACUAGAAGAAAUGACUGGAGAAACAUGGAAGAUGAAGAGCUUAUAUCUUCCUCACAGAUAUUUGUUGACAAUGGUUUCAGGUAUUUUCUAUCUCCAUUUUCUAACCUUUUAACAACACAAUACAUGACAAAGACAGUACACCAUAGGACAAAGGCAAAAUAAUCCGCCUUUUUAACGUUUUUCAGCUUCUGUUUUUGUUUGUUUUGUACUGAUUUUGAACCAGGACAAAUUUAAUUGCCUUAUUUGAAUUCAUUAUAAGGACCGUCCUUUCAGUCCAUUCAGUCCAACGUCAGAAGAAUCUAAGAAUCCUUUUUCGUCUUUUUUUAAAUGUCUGUUAAACAUGAGAGCUUAAUACUGGAUGAGUGUAUUUAGACCCUUUUCUGCCCUUUUCACAGGUUUAAACUCAGAUGCUUUUCUUUCGGACUGUUUCUUAUACACACACACAUACAUAUAUAUAUAUAUAUAUAUAGAUAUAUAUAUAUAUAUACAUAUAUAUAUGCUCUCCCCUAACUUCAGAAGGAAAGUCAUUUUGAAGAGACUAUCGCUUUUAUCUUGGAUUUCUCUUGAUAUUUCGUGACCAAAGGCAGCACUCUCCUUUUUCUGUAUUUCUGCAUAAGAAAAUAACAACAACUAGAAAAGUAGGGAAUCAAACCUGCAACCUUCAAGUCUAAGGGCGACUCACUCUACCACUGAGCUACCACCAUCGUCCGUUCAACUGCAAAUCUUUAUUCUCCCCACUGGGACCACUUCAUUUUGAACAGCACUCAAAAAAACAACAAUACAAGACACAAGGGAUCAGUGUAGAAUCUGCAUUUACUGGCCACUUUAUUAGGGACGGAUGAGCCAGUCCCCAUAACAGCAACGUGAGCAUCGGAACGCGAUUGAACGGUGAUUUAAGCGGCUUUGAACGUGGCACGGUUAUAAGAGCUGGUGACAGGCUGGUGUGAUUAUUUCAGGAACCGCUGAUCCACACAGAUUUUCACACACAACCAUCUCCAAAAAAAGAGAAAAUAUCUAAUGAGCAGCAGCUCUCCGGGGCGAAAGUGCCUUGUUGAUGCCAGAUUGGAAAUAAAAAGAAAGGAAGAAAUAACGGUGACUCAAAUAUCCGCUCGUCACAACUACAAUCUUGUCUUGAAGCAGAUGAAAACCACAUCUCCUGCCCCUUUAUUAGGUGUCCUGUGUGCCUAAUAAAGUGACCAGGGAGCGUAUAAGCACAGAAGUGAUCACAGUAUGAGCUAAACGCUUCCUAUCAUGGCGAGAAAAGAAAGCACACGUGUACCAUAAGUCAUAUAUUUGUUUAUUUUGCGUUCUCAACAUUGUCACAGUUGAAGUUUUACAAUAACUGGGGUCUUUACUGACUCACUACUCACUGUACAAACAGAAUGCACAUAUAAAUGAGGCCAUUCUUGACUUUUUCCUUUUUGUUUUUAAAAAUGUGUCUCACGCCACACUGAACAGCUCGGAUGUGUGUGUGUGUGUGUGUGUGUACGUUUCACUGCGUGUACAGUAUAUGUGUGUGUGUGUGUGCGUGAGAGAGAGUUUGUGUGACGGUGGGUUUUUUGCAUGUAUGAAAACAGAGGUGAGUGGAAAUGGCAGCGGACUUUCUAACAGUCUUGUGUUUUUUUGUUUUUUAUUCUACAACAAAUGUCAGUUCAUGACAAUCGAUAUGUUCGCGUAUCACCCCACACGUCCAUCUAUGAGGCGACGUAUAUACAUCCUGAUGUUGACUGCCGAUAUCACAAUAGAGAGCACUGAUCGUAUACACAGUAUGUACAGCUCCUUCAAAACCCCCCCUUGGUCCCUUUACAGCUUCCUUCCUUCCUUCCUUCCUUACACACAUUUUGAUCAGUCCACACAUGGAAAUCCCGUAUUUACACGAUGAAAGCCCUCAGCGACAAGAAGUGCAACGUUCUCCACGUUUUUUUGUUUUUUUUUGUAAUUUACACGAUGGCUUCUGUGGGUGAAAUGCAUGCUGAGCUUCGACGACAACGACCAGCCUAACAUGGAACAACAAGGACGACACGUCAACAACAAGGAAGUGACAAAAAAAAAACAACAACAACAAAACAAAAAUCUAAAUUUACAGGCUGAUUUUUUUUCUGUUUUCCUUCUUCUUCUCUUUUUUUUUUCCUCUUCAAUCAGCUCACAGUGAAAAGGACACGUGAUGCAUCAGAUCCAUGCAGUGCAUUGUUGGGGUACUAAAAAUAGACGUUGGAAGCACUACAACACACACACACACACACACACACA